GAUGAACGCUGGCGGCGUGCUUAACACAUGCAAGUCGAACGGACAGGCCCAAGCUUGCUUGGGUACUCGAGUGGCGAACGGGUGAGUAACACGUGGGUGAUCUGCCCUGCACUUAGGGAUAAGCCUGGGGAACUGGGUCUCAUACCGGAUAGGACCACCUUUUGGAUGGUGUGGUGGAAAGUUUCUCGGUGUGGGGUGAGCUCGUGGCCUAUCAGCUUGUUGGUGGGGUAAUGGCCUACCAAGGCGUCGACGGGUAGCCGGACCGAGAGGGUGUACGGCCGUAGUGGGACCGAGGGGCGGCCAAGGCACCGACGGGAGGCAGCUGGGGGAAAGAUUGCACAAGCGGCGCCAGCCGAAUGCAGCAACUCCGCGGAGGGGAGGACGGCCUUCUGGUUGGAAACUCAUUUCGCAAGUGACGAAGCGUUAUGUGACGGUACCUGGAGAAGAAGCAACGGCUAACUACGUG
This 466-nucleotide ribosomal RNA is filed under the name uncultured bacterium. RNAcentral describes it as "partial 16S ribosomal RNA". It matches the Rfam family "Bacterial small subunit ribosomal RNA", at positions 28 to 507 of the family's 1533-position model. The record is from RNAcentral.